UGGGGAAUCUUGGACAAUGGGCGCAAGCCUGAUCCAGCCAUGCCGCGUGAGUGAAGAAGGCCUUAGGGUUGUAAAGCUCUUUUGCCAGGGACGAUAAUGACGGUACCUGGAGAAUAAGCCCCGGCAAACUUCGUG
Molecule: ribosomal RNA, 135 nt
Filed under: uncultured bacterium
Lineage: Bacteria
Description: partial 16S ribosomal RNA
Rfam family: Bacterial small subunit ribosomal RNA
Source: RNAcentral